UGCAGCAGCAGCGUCUCAGCAUCAUGACGUAGCGCUCUGCAUAAAACCAGAGUUUGAGGAACAAGCUGCUAAGAAAGCGCUGUCCACUGUGAUAAAGGCCCACGCUGACACAAAACGUUUUUUCGACUCGCUUGGUGGAACCGGGAGAACCUCGGUGUCGGGACCUUUAGGAUCCCACCUUCGCCGUCCCGGAUAUGGCUGGGCUCGACGGACUCAGGGUACUGCUGCUGCUGGCUGGGCUGGUCUCCAUGGCAAACUUAAAGCCGACGACUCCCACUGGAGAUCCUCAGACUACCACUGUAUAUCGGAGGUAUCCCUUUGGAGUUCCGCAGACUACCACUGUAUAUCGGAGGUAUCCCUUUGGAGUUCCGCAGACUACCACUGUAUAUCGGAGGUAUCCCUUUGGAGUUCCGCAGACUACCACUGUAUAUCGGAGGUAUCCCUUUGGAGUUCCGCAGACUACCACUGGUAAGUUGUAGUGCCGUGUUUCAUUCUGCACAAAAAACAACAACUGUCAAUCAUGCAGUUCAAUUAUUACCUCAUCGUGGUAACAAUUACAUCGCUCUCUCUCUCUCUCUCUCUCUCUCUCUCUCUCUCUCUCUCUAUCUCCAUUUGCAGUAUAUCGGAGGUAUCCCUUUGGUAAGUUGUAAUGCAGUUCUUCAUUCUACACAAAAAAACAAAGUCAAUUAUGCAGUUCAAUUAUUACCUCAUCGUGAAAACAAUUCUCUCUCUCUCUCUCUCUCUCUCUCUCUC
Molecule: long non-coding RNA, 753 nt
Organism: Gadus morhua (Atlantic cod)
Lineage: Eukaryota; Metazoa; Chordata; Actinopteri; Gadiformes; Gadidae
Exons: 12
Source: RefSeq, a predicted model, not a curated record